UCGGGAAUUUUGGGCAAUGGGCGAAAGCCUGACCCAGCAACGCCGCGUGAGGGAUGAAGUAUUUCGGUAUGUAAACCUCGAAAGGAUGGGAAGAAUAAAUGACGGUACCAUUUAUAAGCUCCGGCUAACUACGUGCCAGCAGCCGCGGUAAUACGUAGGGAGCAAGCGUUGUUCGGAUUUACUGGGCGUAAAGGGCGCGUAGGCGGCGCGGUAAGUCACUUGUGAAAUCUCUGAGCUUAACUCAGAACGGCCAAGUGAUACUGCUGUGCUAGAGUGCGGAAGAGGCAACCGGAAUUCUUGGUGUAGCGGUGAAAUGCGUAGAUAUCAAGAGGAACACCUGAGGCGAAGGCGGGUUGCUGGGCCGACACUGACGCUGAUGCGCGAAAGCCAGGGGAGCAAACG
Molecule: ribosomal RNA, 402 nt
Filed under: uncultured bacterium
Lineage: Bacteria
Description: bacterial SSU rRNA
Rfam family: Bacterial small subunit ribosomal RNA
Source: RNAcentral